AUUGAACGCUGGCGGCGUGCCUAAUACAUGCAAGUCGAGCGAAGCGGCGGAUGGGUGAGUAACGCGUGGGUAACCUGCACUUAAGUCUGGGAUACCAUUUGGAAACAGAUGCUAAUACCGGAUACUAAAGGAUGGAACUGCGGUGCAUUAGCUCGUUGGUAAGGUAACGGCUUACCAAGUCGAUGAUGCAUAGCCGGGUUGAGAGGAUGAUCGGCCACAUUGGGACUGAGAAACGGCCCAAACUCCUACGGGAGGCAGCAGUAGGGAAUCUUCCACAAUGGACGAAAGUCUGAUGGAGCAAUGCCGCGUGAGUGAAGAAGGUUUUCGGAUUGUAAAGCUCUGUUGUUGGUGAAGCGGUAAUCAACCAGAAAGUCACGGCUAACUACGUGCCAGCAGCCGCGGUAAUAC
RNAcentral lists this ribosomal RNA (408 nucleotides) under uncultured bacterium. Its description in RNAcentral is "partial 16S ribosomal RNA". It matches the Rfam family "Bacterial small subunit ribosomal RNA", at positions 30 to 526 of the family's 1533-position model. The record is from RNAcentral.